This is a long non-coding RNA of Cheilinus undulatus (humphead wrasse), 1125 nucleotides long. RefSeq lists it as uncharacterized. The record is from RefSeq and is a predicted model, not a curated record. Lineage: Eukaryota; Metazoa; Chordata; Actinopteri; Labriformes; Labridae. The transcript is spliced from 3 exons.
CCUGCCUGUGACUCCCCUGCGUGUAACCUCUUGUGAUUUUCAACCAGUGUUCCCUCGUGUUCUUUUGGUGAUCUUUAGGUUUAGUAUUUUGGCCUUUUUGUGCAUUUUGAUUUUGUUAGCACCUUUGUUGUAGUUUUUGCAUUUUUAGUUAAUUGAAGAGUUUUUUUGUGCCUUUGCAAUUGAGUCCUUCCCUUUUGAGUUUUUACCAAUCCUGACAGUAGGUGAAACAGGCAGAGCUUUCAGCUCAUGCAAAAAGGAACACAAAACUGAAUGUGAAAAAGAAACAGCCAAAACAUUCACCCAAGCCACGAAGCGACAAGCCCAACAGGAUCAGCUUAAGUCCGCAAUCUAAGACCACUGCAAGAGGGAGAACCAUCUCAUGGACUGGGACAAGGCAAAGGUCAUAGGCACAGAAAGCAACAAACACCAUCAUUGGAUCAGGGAGGUCAUCGAGAUCCGGAAAUGCGGCCACCAGACUGUAAAUCGGGAUGAGAGGGCGUACCAACUUUCUCACACCUGGGAUACAGUUCUGAAGAAGUCGGACUGCAGAUGGCACUGUCAUCCUGCUGCUCCAAGUAGAAAGACAGCGCCAAGAAAACCUGUAUAAAUCAGCUGACCAGACACGUCACUGCAACAUCGUGACACUUCUGAAGAAGUCAACAGAGCGCAGCCAAAAGUGUCAAGAGAUUGGGUUUCUCCUCCUGCACUGGCUCUCCCGGCUCCUGCACACCUGUGUCUCAUCACUGCAGUCACCAUCCCGCUCUUACGCUGCGUUCGAUUGUACUCAGAACUUGGAUAAAUCUGACCUCCGAAUUGGAAAAGUGCAACAGAACGGCCCUUGAGCUCGGGACUCUGAGUCGGGAAUUUGGGUAGGAUCCAAGCAACCCGAGUCGGUUGGAAUGACGUAGCAAUAUGGCGUCACACACCUGCCUCCAUGAGCCUCCAGUCCAAGCCCAAUCUCUGCCAUGCUGCCAAACUCUCUCUCUCCAGAUUCACUUGCCAGCCUCUCCCCUCCAAGCCUCACUCACGCAGCCCUCACGCCUUCACGGAGCUCCCUCUUCCCCAGACCUUGGAUUCCCCCCUUCCCCCACUGCCUGUUUCACAUCAAUAAAGCUUUUAAAACUG